UAGGGAAUCUUCGGCAAUGGGGGGAACCCUGACCGAGCAACGCCGCGUGAGUGAAGAAGGUUUUCGGAUCGUAAAGCUCUGUUGUUAAGGAAGAACGAGUGUGAGAAUGGAAAGUUCAUGCUGUGACGGUACUUAACCAGAAAGGGACGGCUAACUACGUGCCAGCAGCCGCGGUAAUACGUAGGUGGCAAGCGUUGUCCGGAUUUAUUGGGCGUAAAGCGAGCGCAGGCGGUCAAUUAAGUCUGAUGUGAAAGCCCCCGGCUCAACCGGGGAGGGUCAUUGGAAACUGGUUGACUUGAGUGCAGAAGAGGAGAGUGGAAUUCCAUGUGUAGCGGUGAAAUGCGUAGGUAUAUGGAGGAACACCAGUGGCGAAGGCGACUCUCUGGUCUGUAACUGACGCUGAGGCUCGAAAGCGUGGGUAGCAAACAGG
This 430-nucleotide ribosomal RNA is filed under the name Bacteroidota bacterium. RNAcentral describes it as "Bacteroidetes bacterium partial 16S ribosomal RNA". It matches the Rfam family "Bacterial small subunit ribosomal RNA", at positions 355 to 776 of the family's 1533-position model. The record is from RNAcentral. Lineage: Bacteria; Pseudomonadati; Bacteroidota.